RNAcentral lists this ribosomal RNA (1434 nucleotides) under Triticum aestivum (bread wheat). Its description in RNAcentral is "partial small subunit ribosomal RNA". The record is from RNAcentral. Lineage: Eukaryota; Viridiplantae; Streptophyta; Magnoliopsida; Poales; Poaceae.
AUGAUAACUAGGGAGGAGGAGAGGAUUAUUGGAGAUGUGGAGGACAAGCAGGUGCUAGCUAAGAUCACCAUGGAUGACAGGAAGAGAUCCAUGAGCGGGAGGACGCUGGACCUCAAUGAAGGCAUCGAUAUGGAGAGCGAUGAUGGAGAAGUCGGCGACGACAACGAUGAAGAGGAGGAGGAUGGAGGUAGCACCACCGAUGUUGCCGGGAGCCGGAGCUCCAGCAACAACAGCAGCACCAACCAUGCUUCGGAGACCCAACAGGGUACCGGGGCCGGCGAGCAUAGGGUGCGGCAGUACAACCGAUCGAAGCUGCCUCGGCUCCGGUGGACGCCCGAUCUUCACAUGGCCUUCAUACGCGCCGUCGAGAGGCUUGGUGGACAAGAGAGAGCUACUCCUAAGCUGGUGCUUCAGAUGAUGAAUGUUAGGGGGCUCAGUAUUGCUCAUGUGAAAAGCCAUCUGCAGAUGUACCGAAGCAAGAAGCUAGACCACCACGGUCAACGGAUCAGGGGAGCCAUCUCCUCAGUAUUUUCACCUAUGGAUUUCCACUCAAUGAGAGGCGAUCGACGCUUUCAUGACAUGCUCCUCCAAAGAGCUGCCGCCCUCUCCUCAACGGCGGAGCGCGGCGGCUUCUUCGUGUCACGGAACGGCGGCGGCGGAGGAGGGAACACCAAUAGCCGCCUCUACGGGAUUCUCCAACACCAACACCGGCCAUCUCCGAUGCAAUCUGGCUUCAAGAACGGCAGUUUCAGGAAUCAAGACUGGGCGUUCGACCACCGUGACAUGAUGGCCAGGAAUGAUGUGAAGGCCUCCUCGACCACGUCGCACUUCUUCGCGUCCUCGUCGGUAAGGAGGUGGCCAUUAACCUCCGCAGUUGCGGGAGCCGGCGAGCAAAGGCGAGAUGAGAGCUUUGGUUACUUUACCGGCCACGGCUCUGGGCCGCUCUCAAGGGCCAUGGCAGUGGCACCGGCGACGUCGGUCGUGCCAGGAGAAGGUAACCAUCGUCUCCCGUUUAGAUGGCACGGUGGCGAUGGCGGCAAGGUUGCUAAGGCCAUAUCGUCAGAUCCCGUGAUGAUCGUCGAAGCCCUAGAUUCCCAGAAGCAGAAGCAUCUUGAGCAACAGAGGGCUCUGAUGACACCAGCCGACAAGGUACGGCUUCCGGUAGAGACGCCGGAGUUGGAGCUCAGCUUAUCUCCAGCCACGGCAAUCGACGCCACAGAUGGGACACCGAGCAAGAAGAGGAAGAAGAGCACUGCUGCAUCGAGCGAGCAAGAGCUGGAACAUGCCAACAAGCUGUCGAUCUCGCUCUCGCUCAUGCCACCUGCAGCUUCCGUGCCCAUGCAGCGGCAGGAAAAGACAAGAGGGGGCAGCGUGGAGGCCGUUCUGGGGCAGAGUACUUUGGAUCUGACCAUGUCGAUCAAGGCAUUGGAGUGA